This is a long non-coding RNA of Oryzias melastigma (Indian medaka), 384 nucleotides long. RefSeq lists it as uncharacterized. The record is from RefSeq and is a predicted model, not a curated record. The transcript is spliced from 2 exons. Lineage: Eukaryota; Metazoa; Chordata; Actinopteri; Beloniformes; Adrianichthyidae.
GGCAUAGGCCGGAAUGAGCAGACGGCCCGACUUCAGCUGCAGGCCGUGACCCGGACCGAGAGCAAACGUGGCCCAAUCUACCAGGAAGAAGGAGAGGAAUAGGACUUCGGUGACUGGACUCCAGGUGUCCCCGCCAUCGGUGCUGGAGAUGUAGCAGAGCCGGGUCACGUUCUGCCCCGUCACCAGCUGGUAGGACUCUGACGUGUGGCCAAGAACAGCGAUGAAGAAGAGGAAGAGCGUUCCCGUGAAGUCAUCGAACACUGGACACGGGUUCAUGGACCUGUGGCCCGGAAGGUAGGCGGUGCCCAGAACACUGAUGUUCCCCCACUACCACAAAAUCCAGAGACAGUGGCAGAAAAAAGCAUGCGUAAAAGAAAAAAUAAA